GUUGAGUUAGCUCAGUUGGGGUACAGUUUGAAUCUGCCCAUUCUGACCUCUGAUCUGAAGGUCAUGCGUUCGAUCCGCAUACUCGACA
This 88-nucleotide transfer RNA is filed under the name Endocarpon pusillum Z07020. Its description in RNAcentral is "tRNA-Arg (TCT) (tRNA-Arg-TCT-3-1)". The record is from RNAcentral. Lineage: Eukaryota; Fungi; Ascomycota; Eurotiomycetes; Verrucariales; Verrucariaceae.